RNAcentral lists this microRNA (22 nucleotides) under Oreochromis niloticus (Nile tilapia). Its description in RNAcentral is "oni-miR-142b". Its record names the gene oni-miR-142b. The record is from miRBase by way of RNAcentral. Lineage: Eukaryota; Metazoa; Chordata; Actinopteri; Cichliformes; Cichlidae.
UAGUGCUUUCUACUUUAUGGAU